UUGGACGGCCUCGCGCCUUCGCUCACGUAGUUUCACGUAGUUUCGCGUCAGCGCUGACGAUGCAGUGCCGAAAAUGUCGACCGGACCAAACCUGAUCGAGCAGUCCGCCUUAAAUCAAGUUUACCUCAACUGCACAGAUCUGAGCCGCCAUCUGUCCCCCGCAUGCCAGGAGAGGUCGUGGCGCUCAGACCCGCUGGACGAGCUCCGCCCUUCAUCUGCCCCGGCGUGACGGGGGAGGAGCCUGAUUGAGCAAAACGUGAGAGGUGUGUGUUUGUGUGUGUGUGUGUGUGUGUUUAUGUCUACAGUGCACGAAACUGUAAUAUGGUUGCAUUCUGUAUUCUUUUGACAUUGUAAAUGCACGUCUCGAAGUUUUGGAGGCAAAAUGUUCCUUAUUUUUUUAUAUUUAUUUACAAUGUAAUAAUUUUUCAAAAAUAGUCGUGUAAUUUUCCAUAAAUAUUUAAGUGUUCCCGUCACUUAUACUGCUGUAUUUUCUGCAUUAUUUGUGAAUAUUUAAUUUAGUAUUGCAUAUAUAUGAGACACAGACACAUAUAUACAGGACUGUCUCAGAAAAUUAGAAUAUUGUGAUGAAGUUCUUUAUUUUCUGUAAUGCAAUUAAAAAAACAAAUGUCAUGCAUUCUGGAUUCAUUACAAAUCAACUGAAAUAUUGCAAGACUUUUAUUCUUUUAAUAUUGCUGAUUAUGGCUUACAGCUUAAGAAAACUCUAAAAUCCUAUCUCAUAAAAUUUUAAUAUUUCCUCAGACCAAGUUAAAAAAAAGAUUUAUAACAGCUGAGUGUUUGUCAAGGCUCAGGAAAGCCUUGCAGGUGUUUCGAGUUAAUUAGACAAUUCAAGUGAUUUGUUUAAUACCCUACUAGUAUACUUUUUCAUGAUAUUCUAAUAUUUAGAGAUAGGAUAUUUGAGUUUUCUUAAACUGUAAGCCAUAAUCAGCUAUAUUAAAAGAAUAAAAGGCUUGCAAUAUUUCAGUUGAUUUGUAAUGAAUCCAGAAUGCAUGACAUUUUUGUUUUUUUAAUUGCAUUACAGAAAAUAAAGAACUUCAUCACAAUAUUCUAAUUUUCUGACAGUCCUGUAUAUGUGUAAUAUAUAUUUAUGUCUAUAUAUAUAUAUAUAUAUUUUAAAUAUUUGUAAAAAUGUGUUUAUGCUGAAUAUGUGUUCAUCUAUAUAUAUAAAAAUAA
Pseudoliparis swirei is the source of this 1191-nucleotide long non-coding RNA. RefSeq lists it as uncharacterized. Lineage: Eukaryota; Metazoa; Chordata; Actinopteri; Perciformes; Liparidae. The transcript is spliced from 3 exons. The record is from RefSeq and is a predicted model, not a curated record.